UUUUAUUGUGGUAGCCCACAAAAUAUUGGGACAUACAACAAAAGAAGAAAUGGCUACCACAUGCAAUGAAGGCAGCAGGCGCGCAAAUGACCCACUCCCGAUGCGGGAAGGUAGUGACGACAAAUAACAAUACAGGACUCUUUAGAGGCCCUGUAAUUGUAAUGAGUCCACUUGAAAUCCUUUAACUCUGAUCAUUUGGAGGGAAGUCUGGUGCAGAGCCACUGACCCGUGUGUGCUGCAGCUGAAACUCCACUA
This is a non-coding RNA of Pelobates cultripes (western spadefoot toad), 255 nucleotides long. The record is from the annotation of a GenBank genome assembly. Lineage: Eukaryota; Metazoa; Chordata; Amphibia; Anura; Pelobatidae.